CAUGCAAGUCGAACGGCAGCACGGGUGCUUGCACCUGGUGGCGAGUGGCGAACGGGUGAGUAAUACAUCGGAACAUGUCCUGUAGUGGGGGAUAGCCCGGCGAAAGCCGGAUUAAUACCGCAUACGAUCUACGGAAGAAAGCGGGGGACCUUCGGGCCUCGCGCUAUAGGGUUGGCCGAUGGCUGAUUAGCUAGUUGGUGGGGUAAAGGCCUACCAAGGCGACGAUCAGUAGCUGGUCUGAGAGGACGACCAGCCACACUGGGACUGAGACACGGCCCAGACUCCUACGGGAGGCAGCAGUGGGGAAUUUUGGACAAUGGGCGAAAGCCUGAUCCAGCAAUGCCGCGUGUGUGAAGAAGGCCUUCGGGUUGUAAAGCACUUUUGUCCGGAAAGAAAUCCUGAGGGCUAAUAUCCUUCGGGGAUGACGGUACCGGAAGAAUAAGCACCGGCUAACUACGUGCCAGCAGCCGCGGUAAUACGUAGGGUGCGAGCGUUAAUCGGAAUUACUGGGCGUAAAGCGUGCGCAGGCGGUUUGCUAAGACCGAUGUGAAAUCCCCGGGCUCAACCUGGGAACUGCAUUGGUGACUGGCAGGCUAGAGUAUGGCAGAGGGGGGUAGAAUUCCACGUGUAGCAGUGAAAUGCGUAGAGAUGUGGAGGAAUACCGAUGGCGAAGGCAGCCCCCUGGGCCAAUACUGACGCUCAUGCACGAAAGCGUGGGGAG
Molecule: ribosomal RNA, 721 nt
Filed under: bacterium
Lineage: Bacteria
Description: bacterial SSU rRNA
Rfam family: Bacterial small subunit ribosomal RNA
Source: RNAcentral